Paramacrobiotus metropolitanus is the source of this 1186-nucleotide long non-coding RNA. RefSeq lists it as uncharacterized. The record is from RefSeq and is a predicted model, not a curated record. NCBI's taxonomy places the organism in Eukaryota, Metazoa, Tardigrada, Eutardigrada, Parachela, Macrobiotidae. The transcript is spliced from 9 exons.
UUGGCGGAAAUACGUAAGACCUGCGUUGCGCCACCAUUACGUAUACGUAAGCGAGCGCGCACGCAUUUGGCUAAGGCCUGAACAGUGUAUUUUGUACGGUGGCUUCAGCGCCGCAGCGUGACCGCUGAUCAGCGUAACGUACAGCUGUGCGCCAGCUAAAAGCAGCCAAGUCGGAAUUUAUCUUUAUUCUGUCAUCGUUUUUUCGGGUUUUUGACCCAAUUUCCAAAACAAUAAAAUUAACGAAUUUCAUUAUUUGUCUCUUCUGGAUGAUUUGUUUCUUGCAUGCUGCGCAUCCGAAAAAUUAAAAAAGGAAAGAUGGCUUUUCGCGCACGAAGAUCAAGAGACCAAUCGCGAAAGUUGCUGAGGAAAACAGCAAGCAGGAGUUCUUGGCGAAACUGCUACAAAUUCUGCAAUCAACAGUUCCUCUAUCCGGACACUGGAAAACCAAAGAUGAAGCCUCAGCGCAAUUGCAAGCAUCGGGAUUAAGGAAUCUUCUUAACAAAAACGGUUUCAACACAUUGCUCGAACAAGCAAACAUUUUGAUGCAGCAUUCUCUGGGGGAAAAACACUCCAGCUGGCGAAUGCGCGCGCUGCUGUCGGAAGUCCACCGUAUACGGCGAUACGCAGACUUAUUGAGGACGAAGAUAACAGCCAAAGCGGUGUAAAUUUCCCACUGCGGCUUUUGGUCGAAACCGUAAAUGGAAGAUACAGAGCCACGCCGGAUACGGUACACGCUUUAGCCAGCUGCCAUGUAAUCCACGAUCUAAAUGAAUCUGAACUGGAUAAAUGAUGGAGUAAGUCCCUAAACUUAUAUAGAAGCACAAUGGACACCGCUACCGGAUAGCUUGCGGACACGCAGAUCCAAAAACCAGAAGGAAAAUUCCGUGCGGAUCAAGCAGCCUAAAAAAUUGCGCACACGCGGAAUGUCGUCGACUUCGACCAUGAGCCGCAGCCGGCAUUAUUGCCAAUAUUUUUUUUUGUAAGCUGUUGUCGUACAGCAUUUUUCUGUGUUUUCACGCAUUCAUCGCGUAGACGCAAGGUGGAAUGAUUUUAUGUUUAUUUUUUGUUACGGUUGCUUUUAUUUUGAAGGCACAAAGCCGAAAACUGUGGAUUAAUUUCUGUUACGGAAACGUUUGUUGAGCAGGCUUCAAGCCAGGAAAAUCAUAAUAAAAUAUGGUAAAAUUGA